Molecule: long non-coding RNA, 264 nt
Filed under: Panax ginseng (ginseng)
Lineage: Eukaryota; Viridiplantae; Streptophyta; Magnoliopsida; Apiales; Araliaceae
Description: long non-coding RNA (PGIN_LNC018043)
Source: RNAcentral
UUGAAUUUAUAGAAAAAUUCAGUUUUAAACAAGAUAUAGCAAUGACGAUUUGUAAAAGAAGUUUUUCAAACCCUAUGCUCAAUAGUAAUUGAGGCAUUUGAUACUUCCAUUUUAUUAUUAAAUGUCUAGCUUGUUUGCUUUUAUUUUCGAGAUACGAAGCAUUCUCGAGAAAAUAAUAUAUAGUAGUGCCGAACUCCUCAUGGGCAUGACAACCAUCCAAGGAAAUUCAGACACUGUAAAAUAAUGUACAAGCUGCUUACAGCU